GAUGAACGCUAGCUACAGGCUUAACACAUGCAAGUCGAGGGGAAACGAUGAGAGAGCUUGCUCGCUUAGGCGUCGACCGGCGCACGGGUGAGUAACGCGUAUCCAACCUACCCAUUACAGGGGGAUAACCUUGCGAAAGUAAGACUAAUACCCCAUGGCAUUUUAUGGUGGCAUCAUUAUAGGAUUAAAGAUUUAUUGGUAAUGGAUGGGGAUGCGUCUGAUUAGCUUGUUGGCGGGGUAACGGCCCACCAAGGCAACGAUCAGUAGGGGUUCUGAGAGGAAGGUCCCCCACAUUGGAACUGAGACACGGUCCAAACUCCUACGGGAGGCAGCAGUGAGGAAUAUUGGUCAAUGGGCGAGAGCUUGAACCAGCCAAGUAGCGUGCAGGAUGACGGCCCUAUGGGUUGUAAACUGCUUUUAUAGGGGAAUAAAGUGAGCUACGUGUAGUUUAUUGCAUGUACCCUAUGAAUAAGGACCGGCUAAUUCCGUG
Molecule: ribosomal RNA, 490 nt
Filed under: uncultured bacterium
Lineage: Bacteria
Description: partial 16S ribosomal RNA
Rfam family: Bacterial small subunit ribosomal RNA
Source: RNAcentral